Molecule: long non-coding RNA, 216 nt
Organism: Mya arenaria
Lineage: Eukaryota; Metazoa; Mollusca; Bivalvia; Myida; Myidae
Exons: 3
Source: RefSeq, a predicted model, not a curated record
GUUAGAAGCCCGACAGGACCAGUGAAAAUUCAUUUGUCACGAUGACUUGGAUACAAAUUGUUCUUGUUGUAUUUCUACUUCCAUGGAUAUUGCAGACAAUAGCCUUUCGUUCAGACAUGGAUGCAUGCCAUCGAGGGUGGAGGUUUUAUUGUAACACUUCCAUGAAGUGCAUUAGCAAAUACUUCGUAUGUGACGGAAAUAACAACUGUGUAAGCG